RNA transcript from Musa acuminata AAA Group (dessert banana), 1822 nucleotides. RefSeq lists it as uncharacterized. The record is from RefSeq and is a predicted model, not a curated record. The transcript is spliced from 12 exons. NCBI's taxonomy places the organism in Eukaryota, Viridiplantae, Streptophyta, Magnoliopsida, Zingiberales, Musaceae.
CCCUCGGGCUCGAAACGGUACAAAGCGAGACGUUUCUUUUCGUGAUGCCGCGGCGAUGAAAGAGGACGGCGGCGAUCCAUCCCUGGCGAUGCCGUCAUCAGAUUCCCCGACACAACCGAAGCGAAUCCUCGACUCCCCCUCGGAGUCGCCGAAGCCGCAGAAGCUGCCGAGAUCCGUGGAAGAGGGUUGUGGAGAAGGACGCGAGGGGAUGAGCCAAAACCCUAGGCUCCAGAGGUAUUUGGUGGCGGUGGAGUACAUCGGAACGCGGUUCUCGGGGUCCCAGAGGCAGCCCAACUGCAGAACCGUCGUUGGCGUUCUUGAGGAUGCAUUUCAUAAAUUUAUCGGACAGCCAGUUUCAAUAUCCUUCUCCAGUCGAACGGAUGCAGGAGUUCAUGCUCUAUCAAAUGUUUGCCAUGUUGAUGUUGAGCGCAUAAGUAAACGAAAGCCUGGGGAAGUGUUAACACCACAUGAACCAGGUGUUGUAAGACGUGCUGUUAAUCACUUUUUACAGAAAUGUGAAGGUGACAUAACAGUAAUUGAUGUUCGAUGUGUUCCAGCUGAUUUUCAUGCACGAUUCAAGGCCCUGGAGCGGACAUACCACUACCGCAUCCUCUCAGGGCCAGAGCCUUUGUCAACCUUCGAGAAAGACCGUGCUUGGCAUGUACCUGAGGAACUGGAUAUUCUUGCUAUGAAGAAAGCAUGUAGCAUUCUGAUCGGGUCUCAUGAUUUCAGCUCAUUUAGGGCUACCGGUUGCCAGGCAAAGUCUCCUAUCAAAACUUUGGACGAACUUAGUGUCACAGAAGUUCUUCCAUCACUGUACUUCCCUUCAAUCAUGGAGAGGUCAGAGAUGGAAUCAUUAAAUGGUUCUCUUUCUUGUUCCAAGACAUCCGACCAUGAAUUACCUGCAAAUUAUUUGGACACCUCUCGCAUGAGCAUUCAGAAGAACAGUACUGAUUGCUGUCAAGGGUUUGGACAUAGAUCAACGCAUCGUUGCUAUGUUAUAACAGCAAGAGCUCGCUCUUUUCUUUACCACCAGGUCAGGCUUAUGGUUGGUGGUCUAAAAUCUGUCGGGACUGGAGAGAUAACAGUCAGUGAUGUCGAAAGAAUUCUGAAUGCAAAAUCGGUGACUGCUGCAAGCCCCAUGGCUCCUGCCUGUGGUCUGUAUCUUGGCACUGUGAAGUAUGAUAUUCCAUAGAGUUUUGGAGAACACCACCUCAGUCAAACUAUCAUAAAGAGCCUCAUGAUGGGUCAUAGGUGACAAACAUCAUAAUGUCUUGUGACAUCCGAUGGUGGUGAUAUGCCCAAUGAGUGUCAAACAGAAAGCCAAUGAUGUCAGAAAUCCAUGCAAAAACAGAGAGGAAGGGAAAGGAAAUGAUUGGAAGUCAAUGGAUAGCUGUUAAAACGCCCGCCAUUUUCGCAGGUCAAGCGAACAAAGAGAAAAGAAGGCACUGCAGUGCAUGGGAUAAAAGCACAUGUUCAUCAUCUUUUGGGACAGUGCCGUAUGAUUGACGUGAUGGCUUCAUGGAUUGACAUGGUUUCUUGCUACUGCUUUCUCUUUGCUUAGGUGUGGCACUCGGAUAUGUCACCAAGGUUCAUGAUGACCACUGGGGCCUUUUCUUCCCCUUGGCGUGCAUCACUUCAAGCCAUUUUGUCAAACACUUUAGACGUGAAUGAGUGAAUCGUCAAUUAUGAUGGCAUCUUAUAGUAAGAACUGAUAUUUGGCUUGAACUAUUCAUUUACCAACCAAACAUUGCAAUUUAUCCUCAGUGGGGAAGUUUGGUUUGAUUCUUCACUGUUCUUUAACAUGACUGGUCUCUUUCUA